CGCAUCUGUGCAUGCAGCAUAUCAAUAAGCGGAGGAAAAGAAACUAACAAGGAUUCCCCUAGUAACGGCGAGUGAAGCGGGAAGAGCUCAAAUUUGAAGUCUUAAAGGGUUUCCCUUUACGAAUUGUAGUUUAAAGAAGUGUUUUCUGUUGAGGUUUUGGUAAAAGUUCUUUGGAAUAGGACAUCAUAGAGGGUGAGAAUCCCGUACUUUGACCUUUACUUUCAACUUCGUGAUACACUUUCAAAGAGUCGGAUUGUUUGGGAAUGCAGUCCAAAAUGGGUGGUAAAUUUCAUCUAAAGCUAAAUAUUGGCGAGAGACCGAUAGCGAACAAGUACCGUGAGGGAAAGAUGAAAAGAACUUUGAAAAGAGAGUUAAACAGUACGUGAAAUUGUCAAAAGGGAAGCGUUUGACACCAGUGUUGUUUUUCUGAAAAUCAAUUAAAGAACUGUUUAUGCUAAGUUGUUUAGACUUUAUCAGCUAACUGUUAUAGUUUUGAGCUUUUCUUUAAUGCACUUUUCAGUUAACAAGUCAACAUCAAUUUCUUUUGCUGUAAAAAAGCUUGAGGAAGGUGGCUUGAGAUUCGUCUUAAGUGUUUAUAGCCUCUUGCCUAUGCAGUCGGAGAGAUUGAGGUCUGCAGCGUAGAUCCUUCGGGGCUAAAUGCAUUUGUGCUAAGUUAUAGCAUUUUAUAGACAACUUGUUGACUAUGAUUUGUCUUGUAGCUUACUCGCUUAUGUUAUUUUACCUACGCUUAGGAUGUUGAACGCGCACAGAGUCUC
Molecule: ribosomal RNA, 776 nt
Filed under: uncultured Neocallimastigales
Lineage: Eukaryota; Fungi; Neocallimastigomycota; Neocallimastigomycetes; Neocallimastigales
Description: partial large subunit ribosomal RNA
Rfam family: Eukaryotic large subunit ribosomal RNA
Source: RNAcentral